GCGGAGGAAAGAACUAACAAGGAUUCCCCUAGUAACUGCGAGUGAAGCGGGAAAAGCUCAAAUUUAAAAUCUGAUGGUCUUUGGCCAUCCGAGUUGUAAUUUAGAGAAGCGACUUCCGCGCUGAACCCGUGCACAAGUCUCCUGGAAUGGAGCGUCAUAGAGGGUGAGAAUCCCGUCUUUGGCAUGGACCCGUCAGGGCUUUUGUGAUGCGCUCUCGAAGAGUCGAGUUGUUUGGGAAUGCAGCUCAAAAUGGGUGGUGAACUCCAUCUAAAGCUAAAUAUUGGCGAGAGACCGAUAGCGAACAAGUACCGUGAGGGAAAGAUGAAAAGCACUUUGGAAAGAGAGUGAAACAGUACGUGAAAUUGUUGAAAGGGAAACGCUUGAAGUCAGUCGCAUCGACCGAGACUCAGCCUCCGCCUUGGCUUGGUGUACUUCUCGGAUCGAUGGGUCAGCAUCGCAUUUCGCCUCUCGGAUAAUGGCGGGGGAAAUGUGACACCUUUUAGGUGUGUUAUAGUCUUCUGUCGCAUGCGAGGGGUCGGGAUCGAGGAACUCAGCACGCGCCUCUUGGUGUCGGAGCCUUUUGGCUCACGUUACGUGCUUAGGAUGUUGGCGUAAUGGCUUU
RNAcentral lists this ribosomal RNA (622 nucleotides) under uncultured Russulaceae. RNAcentral's name for it is "eukaryotic LSU rRNA". It matches the Rfam family "Eukaryotic large subunit ribosomal RNA", at positions 50 to 641 of the family's 3401-position model. Lineage: Eukaryota; Fungi; Basidiomycota; Agaricomycetes; Russulales; Russulaceae. The record is from RNAcentral.